UUUACACAUGCAAGUCGAGCGGCAACACGGGGGCAACCCUGGUGGCNAGCGGCGAACGGGGGAAUAAUACAUCGGAACAUGCCCAGUCGUGGGGGAUAACACUUCGAAAGAAGUGCUAAUACCGCAUACGUCCUGAGGGAGAAAGCGGGGGAUCGCAAGACCUCGCGCGAUUGGAGUGGCCGAUGUCAGAUUAGCUAGUUGGUGGGGUAAAGGCCUACCUNGGCAACGAUCUGUACCUGGUCUGANAGGAUGAUCANCCACACUGGGACUGAGACACGGCCCAGACUCCUACGGGAGGCAGCANUGGGGAAUUUUGGACAAUGGGGGCAACCCUGAUCCAGCCAUUCCGCGUGAGUGAAGAAGGCCUUCGGAUUGUAAAGCUCUUUCGGCAGGAACGAAACGGUGAGCUCUAACAUANCUUGCUGANGAUAGNACCUGAAAAAGAAGCACCGGCUAACUACGUGCCAGCAGCCANGGUAAUAAAAAAAAA
RNAcentral lists this ribosomal RNA (490 nucleotides) under uncultured bacterium. RNAcentral describes it as "partial 16S ribosomal RNA". It matches the Rfam family "Bacterial small subunit ribosomal RNA", at positions 48 to 533 of the family's 1533-position model. The record is from RNAcentral.